UACGGAGGGCGCAAGCGUUGUUCGGAAUCAUUGGGCGUAAAGCGCGUGUAGGCGGAUUGGUAAGUCAGGUGUGAAAUCCCGGGGCUCAACCUCGGAAUUGCUUUUGAUACUGUCUAUCUAGAGUCCGGGAGAGGAGAGUGGAAUUCCCGGUGUAGAGGUGAAAUUCGUAGAUAUUAGGAAGAACACCAGUGGCGAAGGCGGCUCUCUGGCCCGGUACUGACGCUCAUGUGCGAAAGCGUGGGGAGCAAACAGG
RNAcentral lists this ribosomal RNA (253 nucleotides) under uncultured bacterium. Its description in RNAcentral is "partial 16S ribosomal RNA". It matches the Rfam family "Bacterial small subunit ribosomal RNA", at positions 524 to 776 of the family's 1533-position model. The record is from RNAcentral.